This 449-nucleotide ribosomal RNA is filed under the name uncultured bacterium. RNAcentral describes it as "partial 16S ribosomal RNA". It matches the Rfam family "Bacterial small subunit ribosomal RNA", at positions 339 to 795 of the family's 1533-position model. The record is from RNAcentral.
CUACGGGACGCUGCAGUGGGGAAUAUUGCGCAAUGGGCGAAAGCCUGACGCAGCAACGCCGCGUGGGUGAUGAAGGCCUUCGGGUCGUAAAGCCCUGUCGGGAGGGAAGAACACCUUCGGGUCUGACGGUACCUCCCAAGGAAGCACAGGCUAACUCCGUGCCAGCAGCCGCGGUAAUACGGAGUGUGCAAGCGUUGUUCGGAAUUACUGGGCGUAAAGCGCGCGUAGGCGGCUUGGUAAGUCAGAUGUGAAAUCCCUCGGCUCAACCGAGGAGCUGCAUUUGAAACUGCCAGGCUUGAGUACGGGAGGGGGAAGCGGAAUUCCCAGUGUAGAGGUGAAAUUCGUAGAUAUUGGGAGGAACACCAGCGGCGAAGGCGGCUUCCUGGACCGAUACUGACGCUGAGGCGCGAAAGCGUGGGGAGCAAACAGGAUUAGAUACCCCCGUAGUC